AGCGAACGCUGGCGGCAGGCUUAACACAUGCAAGUCGAGCGGGCAUCCUUGUGGUGUCAGCGGCAGACGGGUGAGUAACGCGUGGGAACGUGCCCUUCGGUUCGGAAUAACUCAGGGAAACUUGAGCUAAUACCGGAUACGUGCGAGAGCAGAAAGGUUUAUCUGCCGAAGGAUCGGCCCGCGUCUGAUUAGCUAGUUGGUGAGGUUAUGGCUCACCAAGGCGACGAUCAGUAGCUGGUCUGAGAGGAUGAUCAGCCACACUGGGACUGAGACACGGCCCAGACUCGUACGGGAGGCAGCAGUGGGGAAUAUUGGACAAUGGGGGCAACCCUGAUCCAGCCAUGCCGCGUGAGUGAUGCCGGCCUUAGGGUUGUAAAGCUCUUUUCUCCGGGACGAUAAUGACGGUACCGGAGGAAUAAGCCCCGGCUAACUUCGUG
RNAcentral lists this ribosomal RNA (437 nucleotides) under uncultured bacterium. RNAcentral describes it as "partial 16S ribosomal RNA". It matches the Rfam family "Bacterial small subunit ribosomal RNA", at positions 29 to 507 of the family's 1533-position model. The record is from RNAcentral.